AUUGAACGCUGGCGGCAGGCCUAACACAUGCAAGUCGAGCGGAUGAAGGGAGCUUGCUCCUGGAUUCAGCGGCGGACGGGCGAGCAAUGCCUAGGAAUCUGCCUGGUAGUGGGGGAUAACGUCCGGAAACGGGCGCUAAUACCGCAUACGUCCUGAGGGAGAAAGUGGGGGAUCUUCGGACCUCACGCUAUCAGAUGAGCCUAGGUCGGAUUAGCUAGUUGGUGGGGUAAAGGCCUACCAAGGCGACGAUCCGUAACUGGUCUGAGAGGAUGAUCAGUCACACUGGAACUGAGACACGGUCCAGACUCCUACGGGAGGCAGCAGUGGGGAAUAUUGGACAAUGGGCGAAAGCCUGAUCCAGCCAUGCCGCGUGUGUGAAGAAGGUCUUCGGAUUGUAAAGCACUUUAAGUUGGGAGGAAGGGCAGUAAGUUAAUACCUUGCUGUUUUGACGUUACCAACAGAAUAAGCACCGGCUAACUUCGUG
This 484-nucleotide ribosomal RNA is filed under the name uncultured bacterium. Its description in RNAcentral is "partial 16S ribosomal RNA". It matches the Rfam family "Bacterial small subunit ribosomal RNA", at positions 30 to 507 of the family's 1533-position model. The record is from RNAcentral.